GACGAACGCUGGCGGCGUGCUUAACACAUGCAAGUCGAGCGGUAAGGCCCUUUCGGGGGUACACGAGCGGCGAACGGGUGAGUAACACGUGGGUGACCUGCCCUCAGCUCUGGGAUAAGCCUGGGAAACCGGGUCUAAUACCGGAUAUGACUCCAUGACGCAUGUUGUGGGGUGGAAAGCCUUGUGCGGCUGAGGAUGGGCCCGCGGCCUAUCAGCUUGUUGGUGGGGNGAUGGCCUACCAAGGCGACGACGGGUAGCCGGCCUGAGAGGGCGACCGGCCACACUGGGACUGAGACACGGCCCAGACUCCUACGGGAGGGCAGCAGUGGGGAAUCUUGCGCAAUGGGCGAAAGCCUGACGCAGCGACGCCGCGUGAGGGAUGACGGCCU
Molecule: ribosomal RNA, 389 nt
Filed under: uncultured bacterium
Lineage: Bacteria
Description: bacterial SSU rRNA
Rfam family: Bacterial small subunit ribosomal RNA
Source: RNAcentral